Molecule: long non-coding RNA, 1565 nt
Filed under: Capra hircus (goat)
Lineage: Eukaryota; Metazoa; Chordata; Mammalia; Artiodactyla; Bovidae
Description: lncRNA (ENSCHIG00000001961.1)
Source: RNAcentral
GGCUCCCCUCUUCUUCUCAGGCUGUUUGCCUUUUGCAGGGGUACUCAGCCAGCUCCCCUUUGCCCUCUGGAGGUCGUUUCUGACAUCUCAAGCCCCUGAUCCAAUCUGCUCGGGAGACACUGUGCUCUGCCAUUUGCCUGCCUUCUUCCUUCUGGUAUCCCCACACUCCAGGUGUGGACCACUAGGAGGCCCAGUUGGUGGAGGACGCCCCGGGGCCAGGAAUGUCAGCGGCCUGGGCAAAGAUGGGGAAAGCGGGAGGAACUGUUGCUGGGGAGCCACGGAGACUGGAGAGACUCUGAGAACUGUGUGGAAUCCUUGGGGCAGUGUGGUUCCACUUCCUCCGAACUGGUCUCUGGAGCUGGGAGGAGACUUGGGCUGUUUCCAGACAGGAGACAGGCGCUUUUUCUCUCAGAUGCUGCUGGGCCCUCUCUCCUACGAGCGGUUCCCCAGCUCACAGGCCUCAGAAGGGAAGCUGCACUCACAAGGGAGGCAAAGCCAGUUCUCCUGGGAGUGUUGGCAGGUGGAAAACACACAGAAGUCCACUGAGGUCAGGAUGAUUCUCCUCAUGCCCAUCUUUAUGGCAAUGAAAGGACCAGAGAUGCUGGGGUGAGUAAUAUUUACAGAUCAAAUUAAGUCCUAUCAUGCCCCUUAACCUUAAUUAAAUCAUUCAUUCCUCCAGUCUGUUUACUGAGCAAACGCACAAAGCGGUGCACCUCCAGCCUCCUUGGUGCACACUGAUCUUACUCUUCUCUGGACCUCUCACUCAAGUCUUGCUAACGCUGUCUUGUGGGGCCUUAUGGUUCCCAGAGUCUGUCUUGCCUUGGAAGCGGAUCAGGAGCUUUCUUAGGGAAACACCUGGAUGAACAACCCUUUUAUAUUCUACUUAUGACAAAUCCAGAGCAGGCACUCAAGAUACAUGUUAAAUGAGUAAUAGAUGAUGAUGUAGUGGAAAAAUGCAUGAGUUUAGGGGUUAGCUAGACCUAGGUUCGGUUCCCAGUUUUGUCAUUAAUUAGUUGUAAGAUCUUGGACAAAUUCCUUACCUUCUUUCAGACUCUCAAAAUGGGAAUAAUAAUGAUUAGCACAUAGUGCUUGUCACACAGCACAUGCUGCUGCUGCUGCUAAGUCGUUUCAGUUGUGUCCGACUCUGUGUGACCCCAUAGACGGCAGCCCACCAGACUCCCCCCGUCCCUGGGAUUCUCCAGGCAAGAACACUGGAGUGGGUUGCCAUUUCCUUCUCCAAUGCAUGAAAGUGAAAAGUGAAAGUGAAGUUGCUCAGUCAUAUCCGACUCUUAGCGACCUCAUGGACUGCAGCCUACCAAGCUCCUCCAUCCAUGGGAUUUUCCAGGCAACAGUACUGGAGUAGGGUGUCAUUGCCUCCUCCCACACAGCACAUAGUUGACACCAAAUGGCUGCUAAUAUUUAAUAUGUACUAUAUACUAAGAUCAUGGCAUCUGGUCCCAUCACUUCAUGGGAAAUAGAUGGGAAACAGUGGAAACAGUUGCUGCUGCUGCUGCUUCAGUCGUGUCCGACUCUGUGCAACCCCAUAGAUGGAAGCCCACCAGGCU